Homo sapiens (human) is the source of this 531-nucleotide long non-coding RNA. Ensembl annotates it as long intergenic non-protein coding RNA 1583. NCBI's taxonomy places the organism in Eukaryota, Metazoa, Chordata, Mammalia, Primates, Hominidae. The record is from Ensembl.
CAAUUACCUCCCAACAUGUUUGCAGCAAGUACCCUGUCGAUGGUAGGCAAGAGGAAGGUGUGACCCACAAAGAUCAAGGAAUCUAAGCCGGCCAAGGUUAAGCAUGAAUCGAGGAAAGGAAACAGAAAUCCUCUUCCUAGUCCUCUUUCCUCUGUUUUCUCCUCUGGGUACCAGAAUUGCGACAGAGUGGGACAGCUCAGGCAGCUGCAGGUCUUGGCCAGUGCUCUUCCUCACCCAGGCCAUGCAGCAUCAACACAGUCACCGUAGAACUCCUCUUAAGACAAGCAAAGGAACUUUCCAACCCAGUACUCAGGGAGUUUUGAGAUUUUCCAAGAUGCCAUCGAGGAACUGAAAAGUGCUGCCCAGCUGCAGUGAGGGCUUUUUAAAGGCAGUUUCAUGUCUACACCCCACUGAGUUCAGACUGUCCAAUGAAGCACUGACAUUGUUACACAUGCGUGUUGUGGACAACUUGAGAAAACACUUGUCUGCAGGAAGAUGAAAUUAAAAUCAAGUGUGAUCCUACCACCGAAA